UACGUAGGGUGCAAGCGUUGUCCGGAAUUAUUGGGCGUAAAGAGCUCGUAGGCGGUCUGUCGCGUCUGCUGUGAAAACUCGGGGCUUAACCCCGGGCCUGCAGUGGGUACGGGCAGACUAGAGUGCGGUAGGGGAGACUGGGAUUCCUGGUGUAGCGGUGAAAUGCGCAGAUAUCAGGAGGAACACCGGUGGCGAAGGCGGGUCUCUGGGCAGUAACUGACGCUGAGGAGCGAAAGCGUGGGGAGCGAACAGG
RNAcentral lists this ribosomal RNA (253 nucleotides) under uncultured bacterium. RNAcentral describes it as "partial 16S ribosomal RNA". It matches the Rfam family "Bacterial small subunit ribosomal RNA", at positions 524 to 776 of the family's 1533-position model. The record is from RNAcentral.